This 253-nucleotide ribosomal RNA is filed under the name uncultured bacterium. RNAcentral describes it as "partial 16S ribosomal RNA". It matches the Rfam family "Bacterial small subunit ribosomal RNA", at positions 524 to 776 of the family's 1533-position model. The record is from RNAcentral.
CACGUAGGGCGCAAGCGUUGUCCGGAAUUAUUGGGCGUAAAGAGCUCGUAGGCGGUCUGUUGCGUCCGCUGUGAAAACUCGGGGCUUAACCCCGAGCCUGCAGUGGAUACGGGCAGACUAGAGGUAGGUAGGGGAGAAUGGAAUUCCCGGUGUAGCGGUGAAAUGCGCAGAUAUCGGGAGGAACACCGGUGGCGAAGGCGGUUCUCUGGGCCUUACCUGACGCUGAGGAGCGAAGGCCAGGGGAGCAAACGGG